This is a long non-coding RNA of Neofelis nebulosa (Clouded leopard), 626 nucleotides long. RefSeq lists it as uncharacterized. NCBI's taxonomy places the organism in Eukaryota, Metazoa, Chordata, Mammalia, Carnivora, Felidae. The transcript has 5 exons. The record is from RefSeq and is a predicted model, not a curated record.
GCUGGCAAGUGGCAGAGCCGGAGCCAGAAUGCAGGAUCCGGGCGUCUGGUCUGCAGUAUCUUCCUGACAGCUCCGUUGAGGGAGGGAGCCUGACGUUUUCAGCAGUGGCCAGUCACCAUCCCCAUCUCCAGCUUCAUUUCCAUUCGGAUUUCUCCUUGUGACUAGGACUCAAAGGAUCCCUCAGAGCCGAAGUCCCAUGGAAACUGCAGUUCCCAGAAGCAGCCAUGAAGAGCAUCUCUAGGGGGGAGAAAAGACCAUGGCAUCCGAAGAACAAAGGAAUAAGAAAACCUGUCUUACUCAGGUUACAUCGAUGGGCUGGCCAACCAAUCACACACACUGCAAAAGACACUGAAGAUGGGGUAGCCCUCACUUCCUUUUCCUUUCAGUCUUUCCUUACUCGUGAGUAAACAGAAGGCAGAGUUCUGGCAGAAUGUAUGCACACCUAGAACUGAAAUAAAGACAGAUUAAGUGAAAGAGAUGGACACCUGCUCUGAAUAAUGACCCGGAAUAACAGUGCUGUGUCAGCACACUCCAAAAUUUUAGUCAUUUCCUCAAGAUCAAUGGGAAGAGAAAUAAGCUGUAUUCUUUCAAAGUAGGGUGGAAGAUAAUUUUGAUGAAGACUUCCA